AUAGCUAUUGCGGAAUUGAAAUGUUGAUAUUUGCAAUAUUUUUCUUGUGUUCUGAAUUAACGUAAGUUUUGAGGGUAUUUUACGCGUGAAUAUCGAGAAAGACAGAGAAACACAGAGGAGAAGUCGAUAACAUUAUCUUGUUUACAUCAGGGAUCAAUAUUCUUGCGAUGAAGAUGUUGUUAUCGGAAUACACUCAGCUAGUCCUCGUGCUGAGUGCAGUGGUUUUAGUAUAUUCAUUAAAAGCACCAGAAAUUAGGCUCGAUUCAUCAAAAGAAGUAACAUUAGGAAGCAAUGUGACAAUCGACUGCGUCGCUGAGGGAGAUCCAACACCAGUAGUCAAACUGUACAGAAAUGGAGUAUUUAUAGAAGGACAAGAACCAACUACUUUUCCGGUAUCCUUAAUUUACAGCCCCUAUUGAUAAAACAUGUUCAAAAGCAAAAAAGGGUUUCAUCUAUUGCAACACUCGAACGUAAAGUCAUUUUUCGUUUUUAUCGCACGCUGAAAAGUGAGGGCAAGGUUAAGGCAUAGAUCAAACCCUGAAACAACCUCUGGGCUGAUUUAAGUCAGGGCAAGGCUAACUCUGUGACUAAAUGCCAAGACAUGGUUGAAAUAAUUUAUGAUUAAUUGCUAUCAAUUCUUGAUAUUGUUGGUGGAUUAAGCAGAAUUAAGCUAUUCAGUAUGUCUUCACAUCGAUAUUUAAAUAAACUAUGACCAGUAACUGGCAGCUAGAUUCGGUAUCAAACGGGAUAUACUGAAUAUUCCAGGCUUGUUUACUAUACUGAUACGGAUGUUUUUAAUACAUUUUACUUUUGUGU
This is a long non-coding RNA of Actinia tenebrosa (Australian red waratah sea anemone), 816 nucleotides long. The record is from RefSeq and is a predicted model, not a curated record. NCBI's taxonomy places the organism in Eukaryota, Metazoa, Cnidaria, Anthozoa, Actiniaria, Actiniidae.